Molecule: ribosomal RNA, 253 nt
Filed under: uncultured bacterium
Lineage: Bacteria
Description: partial 16S ribosomal RNA
Rfam family: Bacterial small subunit ribosomal RNA
Source: RNAcentral
GACGAACCGUGCAAGCGUUAUCCGGAUUUACUGGGUUUAAAGGGUGCGUAGGCGGAUUUGUAAGUCAGUGGUGAAAGCCUGGAGCUUAACUCCGGAAUUGCCAUUGAUACUGCUUUUCUUGAGUACAGUUGAGGUGGGCGGAAUGUGUCAUGUAGCGGUGAAAUGCUUAGAUAUGACACAGAACACCGAUUGCGAAGGCAGCUCGCUAAACUGUAACUGACGCUGAGGCACGAAAGCGUGGGGAUCGAACAGG